AUUGAACGCUGGCGGCAUGCUUUACACAUGCAAGUCGAACGGUAACAGGCCGCCAGGUGCUGACGAGUGGCGAACGGGUGAGUAAUGCAUCGGAACGUGCCCAGUCGUGGGGGAUAACUACUCGAAAGAGUAGCUAAUACCGCAUACGAUCUAUGGAUGAAAGCGGGGGACUGUAAGGCCUCGCGCGAUUGGAGCGGCCGAUGUCAGAUUAGGUAGUUGGUGGGGUAAAGGCUCACCAAGCCAACGAUCUGUAGCUGGUCUGAGAGGACAACCAGCCACACUGGGACUGAGACACGGCCCAGACUCCUACGGGAGGCAGCAGUGGGGAAUUUUGGACAAUGGGCGCAAGCCUGAUCCAGCAAUGCCGCGUGCAGGAAGAAGGCCUUCGGGUUGUAAACUGCUUUUGUACGGAACGAAACGGCUCUGGUUAAUACCCGGGGCUAAUGACGGUACCGUAAGAAUAAGCACCGGCUAACUACGUG
This 482-nucleotide ribosomal RNA is filed under the name uncultured bacterium. RNAcentral's name for it is "partial 16S ribosomal RNA". It matches the Rfam family "Bacterial small subunit ribosomal RNA", at positions 30 to 507 of the family's 1533-position model. The record is from RNAcentral.